UUUUAUGGAGAGUUUGAUCCUGGCUCAGAGUGAACGCUGGCGGCGUGCCUAAUACAUGCAAGUCGAACGAUGAAGCUUCUAGCUUGCUAGAAGUGGAUUAGUGGCGCACGGGUGAGUAAGGUAUAGUUAAUCUGCCCUACACAAGAGGACAACAGUUGGAAACGACUGCUAAUACUCUAUACUCCUGCUUAACACAAGUUGAGUAGGGAAAGUUUUUCGGUGUAGGAUGAGACU
This 234-nucleotide ribosomal RNA is filed under the name Campylobacter coli. RNAcentral's name for it is "partial 16S ribosomal RNA". It matches the Rfam family "Bacterial small subunit ribosomal RNA", at positions 1 to 232 of the family's 1533-position model. The record is from RNAcentral. Lineage: Bacteria; Pseudomonadati; Campylobacterota; Epsilonproteobacteria; Campylobacterales; Campylobacteraceae.